CAUUGGGAAUGAAAUAUCCCAAGUAGAGAACUCUACCAGCAGUCGAGAAUAUUAGUCAAUGCUCGCAAGAGUGAACUAGCUAACUGGAAUCAUGAGUGUGUCACUCGUGACUUGUAGAAGGAAAAUAAUGAUGACACUUUUACGAGUAGUUUUGUCCAAAGCUGGUGCCAGAAGACUCGGUAAUGCCAGAGAAACAAGCGUUAAUCAUCCUGAUCAGGCGUAAAGGGUUUGUAGGCAGCUUUAAACAAUUAAAGAUUGAAUCAAAUAGAAGUUAAGAGAAUUCCUAGAUUAGGGUUGAUAUCUGUAUAAACUAGGAAGAAUACUAAAUAGCGAAGGCACUUUUCUAUCUAAUGAUUGACGCUGAGAAACGAAGGGGAGGAUCGAAAACAGGAUUAGAUACCCUAAUAUCCCUCUCUGUAAACGAUGAAUGGUAGUUGCUAGUAGUAAUAAUUAGUGACGAUGCUAACGCGUUAACCAUUCCGCCUUGUGAGUACAACUGCAAAGUUGAAAACAAAAAAUUAGUCGGUUUCGGAGCAA
Molecule: ribosomal RNA, 537 nt
Filed under: Hysterangium sp. Garcia3779
Lineage: Eukaryota; Fungi; Basidiomycota; Agaricomycetes; Hysterangiales; Hysterangiaceae
Description: partial small subunit ribosomal RNA
Rfam family: Bacterial small subunit ribosomal RNA
Source: RNAcentral